AGCGCCCUUGGCUGCUCUCGCACCUCACCCUGCCCUUACUGGCCUUUCGCCGCCCUUCUCGCCUCUGUCCCGCUCUGCUCUGUCUCUCCCGGGGAGUGACUGAGGCGGGACCCCACGGGCCCGGCUGCGGCGGGGGCCCUUCCGAAAGCAGCUCUGCCGCACACCCCACGGCCCCGGGUGAGGGGGCUUUGCCUAUUGCCGUGGGGUCAGGCUUUUGGUUGUUGCUUCGGGAGGCGAGGUGGGGUACGGCCAAACAAGCCCUUUCCCCAGGCCAGCACGAUGACUGUGCACGCAAGGGGCUGCCGUGCCAGGCGUCUCCAGUUGUGCACCCGUGUUUCUCCAGCCAUGCUCAGGAGAUAAGUUUUCAAAGUGAAAAAUGAACAGAGCUGUGAAAAACGAACAAUCUACAUUGACCGCACCACUUGCCCAUCCAAAGGACCCCAGCAUCACUCAGUUUCCAGAAUGUUGGAUGCACAGUGAAUGAGACAGCUGUUUAUCUGUUCUAGUCUGUGUGUUCCUACAACCUUUAUUUACCGUGGACCAUCUAAAUCUGUAUGCGUUUAUUGAUUUCCUUGUGAGGUGAUUGCGUUUAUCACCAGACCAUUACAGUCACUGACCUGCACAUGGUGAGUAAAAUUCCAGUCCUGAUGCACAGCUGGUGUUCUGUUCAUCGAGAACUCUUAGGCAUGAAAAGAGGAUAACGUGUACAAGAUUUUUCCCAUCUAGUACUUCAAAGAAUUCUUAGAGAGUCCAGCAGCAGCAGUUCCUCUCUGAAGAUCUUGCAAUGCAGCAGAGCUGUUUUGAAUGAUCUCUUCAAUACUUCAGUAUGUUCUUGUCUGUGAAAGGCAUUACAGAGUUUGGUAUAUAAAUUGUGAGUCUCUGAGGUGAUGUUGAACCAUGGAUGUCCCUCACAGCUAUUGUUAGGUCUUCAGUGCAGUCUGUUGGAAGGACAGAACUGCUACAGAAACCAGUAAGAUAAUUUUGAAGUUUAGAAGUGAGAAAUUAAAUCAAGAACAUUUAAGGAAGCCCCUCUAGUUACAACUCUUUACUGGGAAAAAAACAGGGAAGAUAGAGCCAAGUACAGAGAGAUGGACACAGACUGUAUCCACUAAGCAUGUUUGUACUCCUGUCUCACAGAGUGAAUACACAGGCGAUAUAUUUAUAGAAUGGGACGAGUGGAAGGAAGAAAACCAAAACUUGUCAUGGAUUUAUGUGAUUAAAUUUCACGAGUAAUUAUUAUUAUACAUUAUUAAGAGCAAAAUAACUGAUAAAGGAUGUUCUGCACAUCAUUGUCAUAUUGUUUAUCCAGCCUCACUUAUGAACUUCACUGGCUGGUCAGAGUGUAAAAAUUAAAUAGUGAUACAUUAUUUUCAAUCUCCUCCAGCUGUGGCAUGUUUAUAUGUAAGCUUCUACAAACACUUUCAAGAUUCCUGGUUUAAUAAUUAAAGUGGUUCACUGAUUAAUAUUCAUGUGUCAAGCUGUAGUUUCAGGACCAAUUUCAUCUAAGUGUGGGCUGCCAGAGUGGUAGUUCUGGUGUCCCCCUUCAUCCCAACAACAAAGUUCUCUUCUGCCUGAAGUGCUGCUCUCUUCCAACCUGGCUGAAAUCUAACCUGUUAAAAAAAUAAAUCAGUGCAAACAUAACAAUUAGUUUUCAGCCAUAUCAGUUGCAGUUUCAUCCUGCAGCCACAGUCACCCUAAUGCUGGCAAACAGGAGGGGGAAAGGAAGCAGAGCUGGAAACAGGGGAUGGAGGACCAAUAGGGCCUCCCUUUUCCAUGGCAACUGACAUUUAGCUCAGCAUAAUCUGAACUGCAACGUCAUGUUUCCCUUGAAUUUAAAAAUCCCAUUUACUGGCCUCUCUGUGUUGCUAAAAUGUAGAAUUAUCUAUUUAUUUCUAUUGCCAUACUGGAUAUACUUAGACAGAUGUAAAACACCUAUAUGCUACUAAAAUAUUAAGAAUGUCUGAUUAUUAAGUUAUUUCCCAAUGUUUUAAUUAUUGCCAUUCCUCCAACAAAAGGAACAACAAGAGGAUUAAUUUUAAAAUAUGUUUAAUUACUGCAGUUUAGGUUGUGAGUUAUCUAUAAAAGCAAACAAUACCCUCAGCAGCAAUGUGGAUAAUAUAAUGCAAAGUUCACUCCACAUUUCUCGCUCAUAAAGCUUCUUUUCUUGCUGUC
Columba livia (rock pigeon) is the source of this 2172-nucleotide long non-coding RNA. RefSeq lists it as uncharacterized. The record is from RefSeq and is a predicted model, not a curated record. The transcript is spliced from 4 exons. NCBI's taxonomy places the organism in Eukaryota, Metazoa, Chordata, Aves, Columbiformes, Columbidae.